Molecule: long non-coding RNA, 236 nt
Filed under: Elaeis guineensis (African oil palm)
Lineage: Eukaryota; Viridiplantae; Streptophyta; Magnoliopsida; Arecales; Arecaceae
Description: long non-coding RNA (EGUI_LNC051988)
Source: RNAcentral
GGACCAAACCACCUUGGCGAUUAGGUCAACUCUUAACCUAAUCGGGUCAAACCUAACUGAAUCCAAUUCAAUUGGACUUGAUCCAAAAAUAAUUACUCAAUUAAAUUGAGUUAAUUAGUAAUCAAAUCACUAAUUAAAUCUCUCAUAAAUACUGAGUCCAAAUUCGAUGGGCAAUCAGGCAUCAAAGUCCAUCGAUAUGAAACCUUGAUCGAAGAGUCCCAAACCAGUGGGACUCU